UGAAGUAGAUUAAUUGGGACUGGCUAAGCAUAGAGCCUGCCACUUGGCGCUAUGUGAGGUGAGAUAUUAGUGAAGUUGGCUAAGCAUGUAGAUGCAGCAAGGAAAAGAUUUGCGGACAGGGGUUCGACUCCCCUCGUCUCCACCA
Molecule: transfer-messenger RNA, 145 nt
Filed under: Clostridioides difficile
Lineage: Bacteria; Bacillati; Bacillota; Clostridia; Peptostreptococcales; Peptostreptococcaceae
Description: partial transfer-messenger RNA
Rfam family: transfer-messenger RNA
About the family: Bacterial tmRNA, also known as 10Sa RNA or SsrA, is named for its dual tRNA and mRNA-like properties.
Source: RNAcentral